RNAcentral lists this ribosomal RNA (253 nucleotides) under uncultured Eubacteriales bacterium. RNAcentral's name for it is "uncultured Clostridiales bacterium partial 16S ribosomal RNA". It matches the Rfam family "Bacterial small subunit ribosomal RNA", at positions 524 to 776 of the family's 1533-position model. Lineage: Bacteria; Bacillati; Bacillota; Clostridia; Eubacteriales. The record is from RNAcentral.
UACGUAUGGAGCAAGCGUUAUCCGGAUUUACUGGGCGUAAAGGGAGCGUAGGCGGCCUGCCAAGUCUGGAGUGAAAUCCCAUGGCUUAACCAUGGAACUGCUUUGGAAACUGUGCAGCUGGAGUGCAGGAGAGGUAAGCGGAAUUCCUAGUGUAGCGGUGAAAUGCGUAGAUAUUAGGAGGAACACCAGUGGCGAAGGCGGCUUACUGGACUGUAACUGACGUUGAGGCUCGAAAGCGUGGGGAGCAAACAGG